CCUCGGCGGGGUCACGCCCCGGGUGCGUCGCAGCCCCGGAACCAGGCGCCCGCCGGAGGAACCAACCAAACUCUUUCUGUAGUCCCCUCGCGGACGUAUUUCUUACAGCUCUGAGCAAAAAUUCAAAAUGAAUCAAAACUUUCAACAACGGAUCUCUUGGUUCUGGCAUCGAUGAAGAACGCAGCGAAAUGCGAUAAGUAAUGUGAAUUGCAGAAUUCAGUGAAUCAUCGAAUCUUUGAACGCACAUUGCGCCCGCCAGUAUUCUGGCGGGCAUGCCUGUCCGAGCGUCAUUUCAACCCUCGAACCCCUCCGGGGGAUCGGCGUUGGGGAUCGGGACCCCUCACACGGGUGCCGGCCCCUAAAUACAGUGGCGGUCUCGCCGCAGCCUCUCCUGCGCAGUAGUUUGCACAACUCGCACCGGGAGCGCGGCGCGUCCACGUCCGUAAAACACCCAACUUUCUGAAAUGUUGACCUCGGAUCAGGUAGGAAUACCCGCUGAACUUAAGCAUAUCAAUAAAGCGGGAGGAA
Molecule: ribosomal RNA, 528 nt
Filed under: Trichoderma asperellum
Lineage: Eukaryota; Fungi; Ascomycota; Sordariomycetes; Hypocreales; Hypocreaceae
Description: eukaryotic LSU rRNA
Rfam family: 5.8S ribosomal RNA (bases 137-290)
Source: RNAcentral